GACGAACGCUGGCGGCGUGCCUAAUACAUGCAAGUCGAACGCUGAAGCGAGGAGCUUGCUCUUCUUGGAUGAGUUGCGAACGGGUGAGUAACGCGUAGGUAACCUGCCUGGUAGCGGGGGAUAACUAUUGGAAACGAUAGCUAAUACCGCAUAACAACAGUUGUUGCAUGACAGCUGUUUAAAAGAUGCAAUUGCAUCACUACCAGAUGGACCUGCGUUGUAUUAGCUAGUUGGUGAGGUAACGGCUCACCAAGGCGACGAUACAUAGCCGACCAGAAAGGGGGCGCUCCCAAGCUGGGCUGGGGGCACGGCCCAGCAUCCUGCGAGUGGCAGCAGUAGGGGAUCUUCGGGAAUGGGAGGAAUGCUGAACAAGCAACGCCGGGUGAGUGAAGGAGGCUGUCGGGUCGCGAAGCUCUGUUGUAAGUGAAGAUCGGGUGUGAGAGUGGAAAGUUCACACUGUGACGGUACCGUACCAGAAAGCGACGGCUAACUACGUG
Molecule: ribosomal RNA, 497 nt
Filed under: uncultured bacterium
Lineage: Bacteria
Description: partial 16S ribosomal RNA
Rfam family: Bacterial small subunit ribosomal RNA
Source: RNAcentral